CUCGUAGGCGGUUUGUCACGUCGUCUGUGAAUCCCUCGGCUUAACCGGGGGCGUGCAGGCGAUACGGGCAGACUUGAGUACUACAGGGGAGACUGGAAUUCCUGGUGUAGCGGUGAAAUGCGCAGAUAUCAGGAGGAACACCGGUGGCGAAGGCGGGUCUCUGGGUAGUAACUGACGCUGAGGAGCGAAAGCAUGGGUAGCGAACAGGAUUAGAUACCCUGGUAGUCCAUGCCGUAAACGGUGGGCGCUAGGUGUGGGGUCCUUCCACGGACUCCGUGCCGUAGCUAACGCAUUAAGCGCCCCGCCUGGGGAGUACGGCCGCAAGGCUAAAACUCAAAGGAAUUGACGGGGGCCCGCACAAGCGGCGGAGCAUGUGGAUUAAUUCGAUGCAACGCGAAGAACCUUACCUAGGCUUGACAUAUACAGGACGACGGCAGAGAUGUCGUUUCCCUUGUGGCUUGUAUACAGGUGGUGCAUGGUUGUCGUCAGCUCGUGUCGUGAGAUGUUGGGUUAAGUCCCCGCAACGAGCGCAACCCCUGUCUCAUGUUGCCAGCACGUAAUGGUGGGGACUCGUGAGAGACUGCCGGGGUCAACUCGGAGGAAGGUGGGGAUGACGUCAAAUCAUCAUGCCCCUUAUGUCUAGGGCUUCACACAUGCUACAAUGGCUAGUACAGAGGGCUGCGAUACCGCGAGGUGGAGCGAAUCCCUUAAAGCUGGUCUCAGUUCGGAUUGGGGUCUGCAACUCGACCCCAUGAAGUCGGAGUCGCUAGUAAUCGCAGAUCAGCAACGCUGCGGUGAAUACGUUCCCGGGCCUUGUACACACCGCCCGUCACGUCAUGAAAGUCGGUAACACCCGAAGCCGGUGGCCUAACCCUU
Molecule: ribosomal RNA, 876 nt
Filed under: Dietzia sp. GN107
Lineage: Bacteria; Bacillati; Actinomycetota; Actinomycetes; Mycobacteriales; Dietziaceae
Description: bacterial SSU rRNA
Rfam family: Bacterial small subunit ribosomal RNA
Source: RNAcentral